AGAACGAACGCUGGCGGCAUGCCUAAUACAUGCAAGUCGAACGAGAUCUUCGGAUCUAGUGGCGCACGGGUGCGUAACGCGUGGGAAUCUACCCUUGGGUUCGGAAUAACAGUUGGAAACGACUGCUAAUACCGGAUGAUGACGAAAGUCCAAAGAUUUAUCGCCCAGGGAUGAGCCCGCGUAGGAUUAGCUAGUUGGUGAGGUAAAGGCUCACCAAGGCGACGAUCCUUAGCUGGUCUGAGAGGAUGAUCAGCCACACGUGGGACUGAGACACGGCCCAG
RNAcentral lists this ribosomal RNA (281 nucleotides) under uncultured soil bacterium. RNAcentral describes it as "partial 16S ribosomal RNA". It matches the Rfam family "Bacterial small subunit ribosomal RNA", at positions 26 to 334 of the family's 1533-position model. The record is from RNAcentral.